CCCACUCAUCUAAUGAUUCCAGUAAGAUAUGUUUGAUAUUCUUGGUUGUUACAUUCAAAAGUUCACCCAGGAAUCAAACAUAUUAUUACUGUGAUUGUUGAAACUCUACU
This 110-nucleotide microRNA precursor is filed under the name Drosophila virilis. Its description in RNAcentral is "microRNA dvi-mir-190 precursor". Its record names the gene dvi-mir-190. The stretch from base 16 to 95 matches the Rfam family "mir-190 microRNA precursor family". Lineage: Eukaryota; Metazoa; Arthropoda; Insecta; Diptera; Drosophilidae. The record is from miRBase by way of RNAcentral.